RNAcentral lists this ribosomal RNA (560 nucleotides) under uncultured bacterium. RNAcentral describes it as "bacterial SSU rRNA". It matches the Rfam family "Bacterial small subunit ribosomal RNA", at positions 102 to 674 of the family's 1533-position model. The record is from RNAcentral.
ACGGGUGAGUAACACGUGGGUGAUCUGCCCUGCACUUUGGGAUAAGCCUGGGAAACUGGGUCUAAUACCGAAUAUACCCUGCUGGUCGCAUGGCCUGGUGGGGGAAAGCUUUUGCGGUGUGGGAUGGGCCCGCGGCCUAUCAGCUUGUUGGUGGGGUGAUGGCCUACCAAGGCGACGACGGGUAGCCGGCCUGAGAGGGUGACCGGCCACACUGGGACUGAGAUACGGCCCAGACUCCUACGGGAGGCAGCAGUGGGGAAUAUUGCACAAUGGGCGCAAGCCUGAUGCAGCGACGCCGCGUGAGGGAUGACGGCCUUCGGGUUGUAAACCUCUUUCAGCAGGGACGAAGCGCAAGUGACGGUACCUGUAGAAGAAGGACCGGCCAACUACGUGCCAGCAGCCGCGGUAAUACGUAGGGUCCGAGCGUUGUCCGGAAUUACUGGGCGUAAAGAGCUCGUAGGUGGUUUGUCGCGUUGUUCGUGAAAACUCACAGCUUAACUGUGGGCGUGCGGGCGAUACGGGCAGACUGGAGUACUGCAGGGGAGACUGGAAUUCCUGGU